Molecule: ribosomal RNA, 460 nt
Filed under: uncultured bacterium
Lineage: Bacteria
Description: partial 16S ribosomal RNA
Rfam family: Bacterial small subunit ribosomal RNA
Source: RNAcentral
CCUACGGGCGGCAGCAGUGAGGAAUAUUGGUCAAUGGACGAGAGUCUGAACCAGCCAAGUAGCGUGAAGGAUGACUGCCCUAUGGGUUGUAAACUUCUUUUAUAUGGGAAUAAAGUGUUCCACGUGUGGGAUUUUGUAUGUACCCUAUGAAUAAGGAUCGGCUAACUCCGUGCCAGCAGCCGCGGUAAUACGGAGGAUCCGAGCGUUAUCCGGGUUUAUUGGGUUUAAAGGGAGCGUAGGUGGAUGGUUAAGUCAGUUGUGAAAGUUUGCGGCUCAACCGUAAAAUGGCAGUUGAAACUGGCAGUCUUGAGUACAGUAGAGGUGGGCGGAAUGCGUGGUGUAGCGGUGAAAUGCUUAGAUAUCACGAAGAACUCCGAUUGCGAAGGCAGCUUACUGGACUGCAACUGACACUGAGGCUCGAAAGUGUGGGUAUCAAACAGGAUUAGAUACCCUUGUAGUC